GACGAACGCUGGCGGCGUGCUUAACACAUGCAAGUCGAACGGAAAGGCCCUGCUUUUGUGGGGUGCUCGAGUGGCGAACGGGUAGUAACACGUGAGUAACCUGCCCUUGACUUUGGGAUAACUUCAGGAAACUGGGGCUAAUACCGGAUAGGAGCUCCUGCUGCAUGGUGGGGGUUGGAAAGUUUCGGCGGUUGGGGAUGGACUCGCGGCUUAUCAGCUUGUUGGUGGGGUAGUGGCUUACCAGGGCUUUGACGGGUAGCCGGCCUGAGAGGGUGACCGGCCACAUUGGGACUGAGAUACGGCCCAGACUCCUACGGGAGGCAGCAGUGGGGAAUAUUGCACAAUGGGCGGAAGCCUGAUGCAGCAACGCCGCGUGCGGGAUGACGGCCUUCGGGUUGUAAACCGCUUUCGCCUGUGACGAAGCGUGAGUGACGGUAAUGGGUAAAGAAGCACCGGCUAACUACGUG
Molecule: ribosomal RNA, 467 nt
Filed under: uncultured bacterium
Lineage: Bacteria
Description: partial 16S ribosomal RNA
Rfam family: Bacterial small subunit ribosomal RNA
Source: RNAcentral